This 331-nucleotide unclassified non-coding RNA is filed under the name soil metagenome. RNAcentral's name for it is "partial contains 5.8S ribosomal RNA, internal transcribed spacer 2, and large subunit ribosomal RNA". The stretch from base 1 to 120 matches the Rfam family "5.8S ribosomal RNA", at positions 35 to 154 of the family's 154-position model. The record is from RNAcentral.
GAUGAAGAACGUAGCGAAAUGCGAUAAGUAAUGUGAAUUGCAGAAUUCAGUGAAUCAUCGAAUCUUUGAACGCACAUUGCGCCCCCUGGUAUUCCGGGGGGCAUGCCUGUUCGAGCGUCAUUUCACCACUCAAGCCUCGCUUGGUAUUGGGCAACGCGGUCCGCCGCGUGCCUCAAAUCGACCGGCUGGGUCUUCUGUCCCCUAAGCGUUGUGGAAACUAUUCGCUAAAGGGUGUUCGGGAGGCUACGCCGUAAAACAACCCCAUUUCUAAGGUUGACCUCGGAUCAGGUAGGGAUACCCGCUGAACUUAAGCAUAUCAAUAAGCGGACGA